UAGGGAAUAUUGGUAAUGGGCGAAAGCCCGAACCAGCAACGCCGCGUGCGCGAUGAAGGCCUUCGGGUUGUAAAGCGCUUUUUAAGGGGAUGAGGAAGGACAGUACUCUUAGAAUAAGCCUCGGCUAACUACGUGCCAGCAGCCGCGGUAAAACGUAGGAGGCGAGCGUUAUCCGGAUUUACUGGGCGUAAAGCGUGUGUAGGCGGUUUGAUAAGUUGGAUGUGAAAGCUCCCGGCUCAACUGGGAGAGGCCGUUCUAAACUGCAGAGCUAGAGGAUGGUAGAGGGAGGUGGAAUUCCGGGUGUAGCGGUGGAAUGCGCAGAUAUCCGGAGGAACACCAGUGGCGAAAGCGGCCUCCUGGACCAUUCCUGACACUCAGACGCGAAAGCUAGGGUAGCAAACG
Molecule: ribosomal RNA, 402 nt
Filed under: uncultured prokaryote
Description: bacterial SSU rRNA
Rfam family: Bacterial small subunit ribosomal RNA
Source: RNAcentral